This 20-nucleotide small nuclear RNA is filed under the name Arabidopsis thaliana (thale cress). RNAcentral describes it as "snRNA_12238". Lineage: Eukaryota; Viridiplantae; Streptophyta; Magnoliopsida; Brassicales; Brassicaceae. The record is from RNAcentral.
CCACCGAGCGGCGGGUAGAA